RNAcentral lists this unclassified non-coding RNA (297 nucleotides) under Melitaea cinxia (Glanville fritillary). RNAcentral describes it as "misc RNA ENSMCXG00005007954.1". Lineage: Eukaryota; Metazoa; Arthropoda; Insecta; Lepidoptera; Nymphalidae. The record is from RNAcentral.
UGCAGUUCGGCGGACCCGUGGGGUAGUUGCCGGGUCGCGCUGGGCUCCCUGGAGCUUGCUCGGUUGUUCGGUGCGAUCCGGCGUUGGAGGACGGGCGGUCCUGCCCCCCAACGCUACUUGCCGGCGUUGGGGGUCAGGACUGCCUGGCUUGGAGAGGGGACGCUCCUGGACAUGUGUCCCCAUUCUGCAGACGGUAGACUGGUCCGGUUGAGCGUCCCCUGCGUGGGGUGGCCGGCUGGAGGGACAGCAAGAUCUUCGGCUGGCUUGAGACCGCACGCGCGAGACGUGGGAGCGCUC